AACGCACCUUGCGCUCCUUGGUAUUCCGAGGAGCAUGCCUGUUUGAGUGUCAUUAAAUUCUCAACCAUACCAGCUUUUUGGUUGGUAUUGGCUUGGAUGUGGGGGUCUUUUGCUGGUCUCGAUGAGGUCUGCUCCCCUGAAAUACAUUAGCUGGUGCCCUGCGUGGACCAUCUAUUGGUGUGAUAAUUAUCUACGCCGUGGAUGUCUACUUAAAUUGGGAUUGUACCGCUUCUAACCGUCCAUUGAAUUGGACAAUUAAUGACUAUUUGACCUCAAAUCAGGUAGGACUACCCGCUGAACUUAA
Molecule: unclassified non-coding RNA, 304 nt
Filed under: uncultured fungus
Lineage: Eukaryota; Fungi
Description: partial contains 5.8S ribosomal RNA, internal transcribed spacer 2, and large subunit ribosomal RNA
Rfam family: 5.8S ribosomal RNA (bases 1-52)
Source: RNAcentral